RNAcentral lists this long non-coding RNA (439 nucleotides) under Phoenix dactylifera (date palm). RNAcentral describes it as "long non-coding RNA (PDAC_LNC020457)". Lineage: Eukaryota; Viridiplantae; Streptophyta; Magnoliopsida; Arecales; Arecaceae. The record is from RNAcentral.
GAGAGCAUGGAAGACUUAGGUCUAUCUGCCUAUUUAAGGCUCGAGGCGUUGUGAGGUCACUAUGUUUGUCUUGGAGUCAAGGCUUGAGAGAAUUUACAAUUUGAAGUAGGAAAAGUAUUCCUCGUCUGUUUUGUAAAUUGAAUUUAUUCUGAACUCAGUUCCCCUUUCCUGCCAUAUAGAUACCUUGAUCAGGGCAGCUUAUAUGAGAUAAAAAAUUCUAAUGGCAAGAUAGUGUUCAACAAUAAAGCAUAUGUGGUUAUUUGUAGAAGUAAGAAACAAUUUAUCAGUAACCUCAGAUCAGAUAAGGACCAUAAGGCAGCUUAAAGUCUUAUAGUGACUUUGCAUUUUGAGUGAUGAAAUGGUGGUUUGCUGGUGCCAGGAAGUAGCAGAUCAAGGUUGUGAGAGUCAUCAUCUUGUGGUUUGAGUUGAUCUUUUGACU